Molecule: long non-coding RNA, 2820 nt
Organism: Camelina sativa (false flax)
Lineage: Eukaryota; Viridiplantae; Streptophyta; Magnoliopsida; Brassicales; Brassicaceae
Source: RefSeq, a predicted model, not a curated record
AGGCACGUGACAAGAGCUAAAGAUAAGAAUUUAGAGUAUAAAUAGAAUUAGAGGAGGAUUGUGAACAUCAUCAUGCGUGAUCAUUGAUGUGUAAAGAGGAAUUAGAGCUUAUGUGCUCUGUUCUUAGGUGAUGAGAUUGGAGAACUGUAACUCCAAGCUUAUCAAUUAAGGUUUGUGAUUGUAUUGUGGAUUGAGAAGAGAUAAGAGGGAAGAGUUUGUAUCUUCAAUCUUAUCAAUUGGUGCGUCGUGACUGUGAUCGGAGUUAUCGCAAGUGAAGAUUUAGGGUUUGAUGAAAUUGGGGAGUUUACCAAAUUGAAGAAUCAAAGGAUCGGAGAUGGAGAUGCAGCAAGAUUCACCGGUUAGAGAGCUACCAGCGGCGGAGCAAACAGCGGCUUCAGCUAUACAGUUUUACGAUCAUUUGGCGAAGAUGAGUUCGAUGGUUCGUUGUGUAGAAUCACAUUUGGAUUAAAGAAUCAACGCUCAGGAUCAACAGUUCUUGGAGAGUAAGCAGAAGCUAUCAGGGAAAGCGACAGUGCAAGAAGUUGGAGGCAAGAGUCAAAUUACCACUUCAAGAUCACAAGAUCAAACCAAUCAGGAGCUUGUUUGUACACAAAAGCCACGUAAUUUGCCGGAGAUGAUGACUAUAGCCAGAGCUUUGGAGUUGAUUAUAAAGAGAAGUGUUGGUAACGAAGAGAUGAUGUUGGCCAGUAGAGAGAGUAAGGAGAAUCAAGGAUCUGACUCUGCAGUGAUUAUGUUAAACAAAUUAAGUCAAGAAGCAGGCUCACAUAAGACUGAGUUACUAUCAGAUUCUGUGCAGAAUCUAGAAGGGAUAUCUUUGAAUGAGCCAACACAGGAGAUUAUGCAAGGUAAUGAAGAUAACAAGGCAAAAGAGCUCGAGUUGCCAAAUUUUCAUGGAUUGUAUCCAUGUGGUUGGAUAGCAAGGGUUGAAAGAUUAAUUUGAUCUGGUUGACAUACCGACAUGGAGAAGAUACAAUUGGUGUGUCCGAAAUUAGAAGGAGAUGCUCGUAGUUGGUUCAAGAAUGUGUCUUUCAAGAAUUGGAAAGAUUUCAAGUCACGAUUGUAUGUUCGGUUUGGGAACGUUAAGCCUUUAAGCCCAUCAAUACAAACUUCUGAUUAUGAAGUGAUUUUAGUAAAAGAUUCAAUGCAAGAAUCAGAUUCAGCUGAGGAGGAGCAUGAGUUGAUUGAGACAGGUUCUUGUCAGAAAAAAGCUUUGAUUUUUAAAGAUGAAUCAAGGAACCUUCUUGAGGAUUUAACAUUGGAAGUUCUAGAGUACAAUCGACUCUUGUCACCUACCGAGGCCAAUGUUGCUUGGAUGGUUCAGAAAGAGGAAAGUUACAUGGUGGAGAAAUCAAUUUGAGGCAAUUGAUACAAAAAGAAGAAUCUGUUUGUGUGAAGAAAUUGUGUCAUCAACAAGCUUCAGACUUGGUAAUAGCUGGCAAAGGAUUUCAGGAUAACAUCAAGAUGGUUUUGAUAAAAGGUGAUGGUGAGAUGUUUCAGAAUUUGAGUAGUACAACAACAUAUUGCUCUCCAUACCAAAUGUCCAGGCCAUUGUCUCCACCGACAGAAAGUUUGAAAACAAAGAAGAGAAAAAGACAUUUGAAAUCAUGGAUGUUCAAAUAUAAGCCAAAGAAGGUACGGCUUAAGAGACGACACAAUCAUGAUUACUCACACACUUGGAGCAGAAGAGUGAGUUGGAAGAGAAAAAAGACUGCAACAUUCUGUUUAGUUUCAAAUCAUACUCGGUUUCUUAUGGCUAGUUUUAAGCUCGACAAAGAGUAGGAACUUGUGAGAAUGAGGUGCAAAUGGAGAUACAAGUACCUACCCACAAUGAUGAUGUGGGAAAACAUAUCGCAAUUACAAUCUGAUUCUGCAAUUGAUGCAUCACAGUUUGGUAUGAGCUUUGCUGUUGGUCUACGAAGGCUGGUUUCAUCCAUCUUAGGCGAGACUUAUUACUUUUCGGUGUGGCAUUGUUGGUCUCAGAGUGGGCAAAACAGAAACCCUGCAACUUAUGCAUUGCUGGAACAGUUUAUAAAAAGAGACACUCAUGUUCAGCAUCAUACUUCAUGUGAAGAUUCCAAGUUUGAGGAAAAUAAGAGUUUUGUAUGUGUGCUUCGCUUGGACGGUAUACUUCUCUGAUUUACAGAUUCAUGGAAGAGAAAUUUUGCAAGGAUUGGUGGUUUAAGUUCAAAGAUUUAAGGACUGCAGUUACUAUUUUUUCCAUCUUCACUAAAUUUGCUACAUCACAGCUUGAGGACAAGCUGUUUUGAAAGGGGGGAGUAUUGAUAAGAGAGCAAUGUGGGAGAAAUAAAGGCACGUGACAAGAGCUAAAGAGAAGAAUUUAGAGUAUAAAUAGAAUUAGAGGAGGAUUGUGAACAUCAUCCUGCAUGAUCAUUGAUGUGUAAAGAGAAAUUAGAGCUUAUGUGCUCUGUUCUUAGGUGAUGAGAUUGGAUAACUGUAACUCCAAGCUUAUCAAUUAGGGUUUGUGAUUGUAAUGUGGAUUGAGAAGAGAUAAGAGAGAAGAGUUUGUAUCUUCAAUCUUAUCAUAAAGAUUAACUAGCCGAUAUCUUAACUAAUAAAGCUUUGGGACAUGUUCAGUUCGUAGACAUUAUAUUCAAGUUGGGUAUUCAAAAUUUUCAUGCUCCAAGGUGAGGGAGAAUAUAAGACCGUGUAUAACACCAAGUCGUUUUGUAUGGGUCAUGGUCUGGUACGUUUUAUGACGGUUGUUGUAAAUCCUAAAGUGAUGUGUAUAUAAACUCUUGUAUGAUCGUUUUGUUAACAAACACAAGUCAGUUUUGAUAA